UUAUAUUUAGAAGUUUUAGGAGGAUAUUUAUUUGGUAGAGGGGAGUGUUAUUUAAUAUGGUAUAGAGAGUAAGUAUUUUUGAGAUUGUGUUUUGAGUAGUUUUGUUUUAUAUGAUUUUUUUUUUUUGUUUUUAGGGUGUAGGUGUGGAGGAAGUGAGGAGGGUUUUUUUGGAAGGUGAGUGGUGUUGAUAUUUGGGGAGUUAUUAUAUUUUUAGUUUAAAUAGAA
RNAcentral lists this unclassified non-coding RNA (225 nucleotides) under Hevea brasiliensis (rubber tree). Lineage: Eukaryota; Viridiplantae; Streptophyta; Magnoliopsida; Malpighiales; Euphorbiaceae. The record is from RNAcentral.